CUGGCGGCGUGCUUAACACAUGCAAGUCGAGCGGUAAGGCCUUUCGGGGUACACGAGCGGCGAACGGGUGAGUAACACGUGGGUGAUCUGCCCUGCACUCUGGGAUAAGCCUGGGAAACUGGGUCUAAUACCGGAUAUGACCUGCUCUCGCAUGGGGGUGGGUGGAAAGAUUUAUCGGUGCAGGAUGGGCCCGCGGCCUAUCAGCUUGUUGGUGGGGUAAUGGCCUACCAAGGCGACGACGGGUAGCCGACCUGAGAGGGUGACCGGCCACACUGGGACUGAGACACGGCCCAGACUCCUACGGGAGGCAGCAGUGGGGAAUAUUGCACAAUGGGCGAAAGCCUGAUGCAGCGACGCCGCGUGAGGGAUGAAGGCCUUCGGGUUGUAAACCUCUUUCAGCAGGGACGAAGCGCAAGUGACGGUACCUGCAGAAGAAGCACCGGCUAACUACGUGCCAGCAGCCGCGGUAAUACGUAGGGUGCGAGCGUUGUCCGGAAUUACUGGGCGUAAAGAGUUCGUAGGCGGUUUGUCGCGUCGUUUGUGAAAACCCGGGGCUCAACUUCGGGCUUGCAGGCGAUACGGGCAGACUUGAGUGUUUCAGGGGAGACUGGAAUUCCUGGUGUAGCGGUGAAAUGCGCAGAUAUCAGGAGGAACACCGGUGGCGAAGGCGGGUCUCUGGGAAACAACUGACGCUGAGGAACGAAAGCGUGGGUAGCAAACAGGAUUAGAUACCCUGGUAGUCCACGCCGUAAACGGUGGGCGCUAGGUGUGGGUUCCUUCCACGGAAUCUGUGCCGUAGCUAACGCAUUAAGCGCCC
RNAcentral lists this ribosomal RNA (817 nucleotides) under uncultured Rhodococcus sp. Its description in RNAcentral is "bacterial SSU rRNA". It matches the Rfam family "Bacterial small subunit ribosomal RNA", at positions 36 to 869 of the family's 1533-position model. The record is from RNAcentral. Lineage: Bacteria; Bacillati; Actinomycetota; Actinomycetes; Mycobacteriales; Nocardiaceae.